GGGUUGUGAGGUUAAGCGACUAAGCGUACACGGUGGAUGCCCUGGCAGUCAGAGGCGAUGAAGGACGUGCUAAUCUGCGAUAAGCGUCGGUAAGGUGAUAUGAACCGUUAUAACCGGCGAUUUCCGAAUGGGGAAACCCAGUGUGAUUCGUCACACUAUCAUUAACUGAAUCCAUAGGUUAAUGAGGCGAACCGGGGGAACUGAAACAUCUAAGUACCCCGAGGAAAAGAAAUCAACCGAGAUUCCCCCAGUAGCGGCGAGCGAACGGGGAGCAGCCCAGAGCCUGAAUCAGUGUGUGUGUUAGUGGAAGCGUCUGGAAAGGCGUGCGAUACAGGGUGACAGCCCCGUACACAAAAAUGCACAUAUUGUGAGCUCGAUGAGUAGGGCGGGACACGUGGUAUCCUGUCUGAAUAUGGGGGGACCAUCCUCCAAGGCUAAAUACUCCUGACUGACCGAUAGUGAACCAGUACCGUGAGGGAAAGGCGAAAAGAACCCCGGCGAGGGGAGUGAAAAAGAACCUGAAACCGUGUACGUACAAGCAGUGGGAGCACGCUUAGGCGUGUGACUGCGUACCUUUUGUAUAAUGGGUCAGCGACUUAUAUUCUGUAGCAAGGUUAACCGAAUAGGGGAGCCGAAGGGAAACCGAGUCUUAACUGGGCGUUAAGUUGCAGGGUAUAGACCCGAAACCCGGUGAUCUAGCCAUGGGCAGGUUGAAGGUUGGGUAACACUAACUGGAGGACCGAACCGACUAAUGUUGAAAAAUUAGCGGAUGACUUGUGGCUGGGGGUGAAAGGCCAAUCAAACCGGGAGAUAGCUGGUUCUCCCCGAAAGCUAUUUAGGUAGCGCCUCGUGAAUUCAUCUCCGGGGGUAGAGCACUGUUUCGGCAAGGGGGUCAUCCCGACUUACCAACCCGAUGCAAACUGCGAAUACCGGAGAAUGUUAUCACGGGAGACACACGGCGGGUGCUAACGUCCGUCGUGAAGAGGGAAACAACCCAGACCGCCAGCUAAGGUCCCAAAGUCAUGGUUAAGUGGGAAACGAUGUGGGAAGGCCCAGACAGCCAGGAUGUUGGCUUAGAAGCAGCCAUCAUUUAAAGAAAGCGUAAUAGCUCACUGGUCGAGUCGGCCUGCGCGGAAGAUGUAACGGGGCUAAACCAUGCACCGAAGCUGCGGCAGCGACGCUGAUGCGUUGUUGGGUAGGGGAGCGUUCUGUAAGCCUGCGAAGGUGUGCUGUGAGGCAUGCUGGAGGUAUCAGAAGUGCGAAUGCUGACAUAAGUAACGAUAAAGCGGGUGAAAAGCCCGCUCGCCGGAAGACCAAGGGUUCCUGUCCAACGUUAAUCGGGGCAGGGUGAGUCGACCCCUAAGGCGAGGCCGAAAGGCGUAGUCGAUGGGAAACAGGUUAAUAUUCCUGUACUUGGUGUUACUGCGAAGGGGGGACGGAGAAGGCUAUGUUGGCCGGGCGACGGUUGUCCCGGUUUAAGCGUGUAGGCUGGUUUUCCAGGCAAAUCCGGAAAAUCAAGGCUGAGGCGUGAUGACGAGGCACUACGGUGCUGAAGCAACAAAUGCCCUGCUUCCAGGAAAAGCCUCUAAGCAUCAGGUAACAUCAAAUCGUACCCCAAACCGACACAGGUGGUCAGGUAGAGAAUACCAAGGCGCUUGAGAGAACUCGGGUGAAGGAACUAGGCAAAAUGGUGCCGUAACUUCGGGAGAAGGCACGCUGAUAUGUAGGUGAAGUCCCUCGCGGAUGGAGCUGAAAUCAGUCGAAGAUACCAGCUGGCUGCAACUGUUUAUUAAAAACACAGCACUGUGCAAACACGAAAGUGGACGUAUACGGUGUGACGCCUGCCCGGUGCCGGAAGGUUAAUUGAUGGGGUUAGCGCAAGCGAAGCUCUUGAUCGAAGCCCCGGUAAACGGCGGCCGUAACUAUAACGGUCCUAAGGUAGCGAAAUUCCUUGUCGGGUAAGUUCCGACCUGCACGAAUGGCGUAAUGAUGGCCAGGCUGUCUCCACCCGAGACUCAGUGAAAUUGAACUCGCUGUGAAGAUGCAGUGUACCCGCGGCAAGACGGAAAGACCCCGUGAACCUUUACUAUAGCUUGACACUGAACAUUGAGCCUUGAUGUGUAGGAUAGGUGGGAGGCUUUGAAGUGUGGACGCCAGUCUGCAUGGAGCCGACCUUGAAAUACCACCCUUUAAUGUUUGAUGUUCUAACGUUGACCCGUAAUCCGGGUUGCGGACAGUGUCUGGUGGGUAGUUUGACUGGGGCGGUCUCCUCCUAAAGAGUAACGGAGGAGCACGAAGGUUGGCUAAUCCUGGUCGGACAUCAGGAGGUUAGUGCAAUGGCAUAAGCCAGCUUGACUGCGAGCGUGACGGCGCGAGCAGGUGCGAAAGCAGGUCAUAGUGAUCCGGUGGUUCUGAAUGGAAGGGCCAUCGCUCAACGGAUAAAAGGUACUCCGGGGAUAACAGGCUGAUACCGCCCAAGAGUUCAUAUCGACGGCGGUGUUUGGCACCUCGAUGUCGGCUCAUCACAUCCUGGGGCUGAAGUAGGUCCCAAGGGUAUGGCUGUUCGCCAUUUAAAGUGGUACGCGAGCUGGGUUUAGAACGUCGUGAGACAGUUCGGUCCCUAUCUGCCGUGGGCGCUGGAGAAUUGAGGGGGGCUGCUCCUAGUACGAGAGGACCGGAGUGGACGCAUCACUGGUGUUCGGGUUGUCAUGCCAAUGGCACUGCCCGGUAGCUAAAUGCGGAAGAGAUAAGUGCUGAAAGCAUCUAAGCACGAAACUUGCCCCGAGAUGAGUUCUCCCUGACUCCUUGAGAGUCCUGAAGGAACGUUGAAGACGACGACGUUGAUAGGCCGGGUGUGUAAGCGCAGCGAUGCGUUGAGCUAACCGGUACUAAUGAACCGUGAGGCUUAACCUUACAACGCCGAAG
Molecule: ribosomal RNA, 2925 nt
Filed under: Escherichia coli
Lineage: Bacteria; Pseudomonadati; Pseudomonadota; Gammaproteobacteria; Enterobacterales; Enterobacteriaceae
Description: bacterial LSU rRNA
Rfam family: Bacterial large subunit ribosomal RNA
Source: RNAcentral